Molecule: non-coding RNA, 73 nt
Organism: Mycena capillaripes
Lineage: Eukaryota; Fungi; Basidiomycota; Agaricomycetes; Agaricales; Mycenaceae
Source: the annotation of a GenBank genome assembly
AGCUCGAUGGCGUAGUGCUAACGCGUCCACUUCCAUUGUGUGGAAUUCGCCGGUUCGACUCCGGCUCGAAUCC